This 421-nucleotide ribosomal RNA is filed under the name uncultured bacterium. RNAcentral describes it as "partial 16S ribosomal RNA". It matches the Rfam family "Bacterial small subunit ribosomal RNA", at positions 360 to 773 of the family's 1533-position model. The record is from RNAcentral.
AAUAUUGGACAAUGGGCGAAAGCCUGAUCCAGCCAUGCCGCGUGUGUGAAGAAGGUCUUCGGAUUGUAAAGCACUUUAAGUUGGGAGGAAGGGCAGUAAGUUAAUACCUUGCUGUUUUGACGUUACCGACAGAAUAAGCACCGGCUAACUUCGGGCCAGCAGCCGCGGUAAUAGGAAGGGUGCAAGCGUUAAUCGGAAUUACUGGGCGUAAAGCGCGCGUUGGUGGUUUGUUAAAUUGGAAGUGAAAGCCCCGGGCUCAACCUGGGAACUGCUUUCAAAACUGGCAGGCUAGAGUAUGGCAGAGGGUGGUGGAAUGUCCUGUGUAGCGGUGGAAUGCGUAAAUAUAGGAAGGAAAACCAGUGGCGAAAGCGACCACCUGGGCUAAUACUGAAACUGAGGUGAGAAAGCGUGGGGAGCAAAC